Molecule: microRNA, 23 nt
Filed under: Lingula anatina
Lineage: Eukaryota; Metazoa; Brachiopoda; Lingulata; Lingulida; Lingulidae
Description: Lan-Mir-1994-o1b_5p* (star (passenger))
Source: RNAcentral
AGGGAGUACACACUUGCCUCAUG